Molecule: microRNA precursor, 106 nt
Filed under: Nicotiana sylvestris (wood tobacco)
Lineage: Eukaryota; Viridiplantae; Streptophyta; Magnoliopsida; Solanales; Solanaceae
Also listed under: 1 other name
Description: MIR6152 microRNA precursor family
Rfam family: MIR6152 microRNA precursor family
Source: Rfam by way of RNAcentral
UGCACAAAUUAUUGUAUUCGACUGUAUUUGACUAUAUUCACGACGUGAAAUAGGGGAUUAGACUGGUUUUAAAUGAAAAGUGAAUCAACUAACAUAAUAGACUCCU